This is an RNA transcript of Panthera uncia (snow leopard), 3248 nucleotides long. It is a transcript of the gene named cylicin 2, with no coding region annotated. The transcript is spliced from 11 exons. Lineage: Eukaryota; Metazoa; Chordata; Mammalia; Carnivora; Felidae. The record is from RefSeq and is a predicted model, not a curated record.
UUUGAACUUACAGUGCUUACUUAAGUCCUGGCAAAUCAUAGGUGGUGGAAAUGUCUGUACCAAGAUUCCAAAAAAUAAACUUUGGAACAUAUGAUAAUUACAUUCCAGUCAGUGAAUUAAGCAAAAAAUCAUGGAAUCAGCAAUACUUUGCCCUGGUAUUUCCCAAACCACCACGGCCAGGAAAAAAAAGGAGAUCAAAACCAUCUCAACUACGAGACAAUACAGCUCCUAAAUAUGAUGAAGAGAAAUUAAGAGAAGGUCCUAAACGACCGUUAUGGAUGCACAGUUCUUUAAUGAGAAUUUCUGAAAGACCAUCUGAUUAUUUAGCUGCCAGGAUAUGGCCCCCACAUAAACCAACCCAUCACUCCAAGGAGGUUGCUAAAGUAGCAGAUGUACACAAACCUGUAUCUCCAGCAAGAGGUAAGAAAGAUAAAGAACACAAGAAAGCAGACAAGAAAGACAAAUCAGAAUCAGAAUCAGAAUCCACAGUUUCAAAGGGACCACUAAUAACUAGGAAGGAGUCAAAGAAAGAUAAGGAUAUAGAAACAGGAACUAAAGGUGAAAAAGAUGUUGCAAAAACAGAUGUCAAAAAAGAGAAGAAACAUACAAAGAAGGGUAAGGAGUCAGCUACAGAAUCUGAAGAGGAACAAAAAGGUGCAAAAAAGGAUACCAAAAAAGAAAGAAAAGAUUCAAAGAAGGGUAAGGAGUCAGGUACAGAAUCUGAAGGUGAAAAGAAAGAUGCCAAGAAAGGUGCUAAGAAAGAAAAGAAAGAUUCAAAGGACAAGGAGUCAGGUAUAGAAUCUGAAGGUGAGAAGAAAGAUGCCAAGAAAGAUGCCAAUAAUGAAAAGAAAGAUUCAAAGGACAAGGAGUCAGGUACAGAAUCUGAAGGUGAAAAGAAAGGGGCCACGAAAGGUGCCAAGAAAGAUAAGAAAGACUCAAAGGACAAAGAGUCAGGUACAGAAUCUGAAGGUGACAAGAAAGAUGCCAAGAAAGAAAAGAAAGAUUCAAAAAAGGGCAAGGAGUCAGGUACAGAAUCUGAAGGUGAAAAGAAAGGGGCCACGAAAGGUGCCAAGAAAGAUAAGAAAGAUUCAAAGGACAAGGAGAUAGGUAUAGAAUCUGAAGGUGAAAAGAAAGGGUCCACAAAAGGUGCCAAGAAAGAUAAGAAAGACUCAAAGGACAAAGAGUCAGGUACAGAAUCUGAAAGUGAAAAGAAAGAUGCCAAGAAAGAAAAGAAAGAUUCAAAAAAGGUCAAGGAGUCAGGUACAGAAUCUGAAGGUGAAAAAAAGAAUUCAAAGAAAGAUGCCAAGAAAGAUAAGAAAGAUUCAAAGAAGAGCAAAGAAUCAAGUAUAGCAUCUGAAGAUGAAAAGAAGGGUGCCAAGAAGGAUAAGGAUGGGAAAAAAGAUUCAAAGAAACCAGGAGAAAAAGAUGAUGAGUCAAAAGACAAGAAAGAAUCCAAGAAAGAUGCAAAGAGAAAGGUGAGUAAAAAAGAGAAGAAAGAUGAAAAGCCCAGCGGGACAGAUACUGAAUCAAAAGAUGAUGCCAAGAAAGAUGCCAAGAAGAAUGCCAAGAAAGAUGCCAAGAAAGAUACUGACACAGAAUCUCCUGAUGCAAAGAAGGAUACAAAGGAUGCAAAGAAGGAUGCAAAGAAGGAUGCAAAGAAGGAUGCUAAGGCAAAGAAAGGCAAGUAGGUCUUGGAUAAAAUUCAAAAGCAUGUUUGAUAAAACAAUUUUAGCAAUCUGAUACUAAAUCUAUGAGUGACAGGGGGCCUCAAAGAAUCAAAUAAUUUUUAAAGUGGAGCAAAGAAGAAUACAAAGAAAGACUCAUAAAAUCAUAAAAAUAUAAAGAAGAAAAGAAAAAUUAAGAGAUGAUUCAAUGAAGAACUUGGAGGAUACAUAUGCUAAGUUUGGGGAUAUGAAGGAUUCAAUGAAAAAUCCCUAGAAAUGUUCAAAGAAGAAUAUUCAAAUCAGGAUGUAGAAGUUAAUGACACUGGAUCUGUGGAUAGCAAAAAAAUAAAAAAUAUAUAUAUAUCAAGACUUCAAAAAAAUCCAAGGAGGUAGACAUUCAAUCUAUAUAAUCAAACUGUGAAGCUGCAUCCACAGAUUUAAAUAAAGAACUAUAGGUGUAUCAGAGGAAGUCAAAAAAAUUUCAGAAAGUCUUUCAAAUAAGUACAAAUUAAAAGUAGCAUUCUUCAAAAAAAAUACGGAAGGAAGGAAGGAAGGAAGGAAGGAAGGAAGGAAGGAAGGAAGAAAAGAAUUGCUUCCUUGUGAACCUAUACCAUCAUCCCUGAAGUGUAAACAGCCACACCAGGUUGAUGGAAAUUAAAUUCCACAUCCAAGCCAAGACAAACACACUUGAAUAUAGUAGCCAACUUCUCUCCAUUUAAGACAGGAAAAUCAAACUUUUCCAAAUUGCCAAGAGAAUAUUAUAAGACAAGAAGAUGCUAAACAGCACAGAGAUAACUGCAAACAUGAGCAUGGAAGAACUAAGGAAAGAUAUGUAGAAAAAAGAACACUUAUAAAGGUCUUUCUGGAAGUACAGGGGAACCUUGCUCAACCAUCAUGUCAUCAUGAAGGAGGGACAAGAAAAGAAUAUAAAACACAGAACUCAAAGCAGAAUGGGAAAGUACUAUCUCACAUCCAAAUACCAUUAAUUCUAAAAAGCAUUAGAAAAAAUGAAUUAUGCCUGGAGACAAGCUGGCAAUAACCAGAGAAGGAAGUUUCAUGGUGUAUAGAGAGGGUAAAAGAACAUGGAAUGGUGAAGUUCAGCCUUUGGAUAAAGGAAGUGAAAAAAAAAGCCUGGGCAUUCGAAAUAUAUUUUUGUGGAGAAAAAAGGCUUAGAGCCAAACCAGGAGAACAGCUUUAAUGGGAGUCAUUCGCUAAACCACCUAAUGAAAGUGAAACAAAGAUGAUCAAGAUUAUGACUAUGUGAAGUCUCCCACCCAUCAGAAACCCUACUGUAAUUGCAUGUAGGAAAUGAUCUGGAAAAAAAAAGAAUGGCCAUCAACUAUUUUCAGCAUGCUCUGUUUAUCUCUUCAGAAACUUCUCCUUCAUGAUGUUUCCCCCCAUCACCCCAGUGAAACAUGCAGACUACCAUGAAGAUAUACUAAAAAUUCUAACACCCUGGAGGAGUCUAAAAUCCCAUUCAGUUGCAAAUCUUCCUGUCAUGGGAGUUGAUUGCCAGCUCUAAUUUUGAGUGAACGCAUUAAACAUGAUGGUGAAAAUAUCAAUUAAAAAAAUCUACUCUCCAUA